GCUCCAUUAGCUAAGAGGUUAUAGCGUCGUGCUUAUAGGCGAGUUCCGACUUUUGGACUUGACUGUACCAAAGUCUUUUGAGACGCGAAGAUCGUGGGUUCAAUCCCCACAUGGAGCA
The sequence is a transfer RNA, 118 nucleotides long. It matches the Rfam family "tRNA". Rfam says of the family: Transfer RNA (tRNA) molecules are approximately 80 nucleotides in length. Their secondary structure includes four short double-helical elements and three loops (D, anti-codon, and T loops). The record is from Rfam.